GGAAUAUUGGACAAUGGGCGCAAGCCUGGUCCAGCCAUGCCGCGUGAGUGAAGAAGGCCUUCGGGUUGUAAAGCUCUUUCGGCGGGGACGAAACGGGCCGUGCCAACACCACGGACUAAUGGCGGUACCCGCCGAAGAAGCACCGGCUAACUACGUGCCCGCAGCCGCGGUAAUACGUAGGGUGCGGGCGUUAAUCGGAAUUACUGGGCGUAAAGCGUGCGCAGGCGGCUCCUUAAGUCAGAUGUGAAAUCCCCGGGCUUAACCUGGGAACUGCGUUUGAAACUGAGGGGCUUGAGUGUGGAAGAGGGGGGUGGAAUUCCAGGUGUAGCAGUGAAAUGCGUAGAGAUCUGGAGGAACACCGAUGGCGAAGGCAGCCCCCUGGGCUAACACUGACGCUCAUGCACGAAAGCGUGGGGAGCAA
This 421-nucleotide ribosomal RNA is filed under the name uncultured bacterium. Its description in RNAcentral is "bacterial SSU rRNA". It matches the Rfam family "Bacterial small subunit ribosomal RNA", at positions 358 to 771 of the family's 1533-position model. The record is from RNAcentral.